AACAUAUCUUAGGGGCAUUUUCUCAGCAUCUCUUUGUAUCUCUCCCAGGCUUCAUAAAGAGAUUCUCCAUCUUUUUGCAUGAAAGUUUGGAUAUCAUGUCUCAACUU
This is a small nucleolar RNA of Arachis stenosperma, 107 nucleotides long. Lineage: Eukaryota; Viridiplantae; Streptophyta; Magnoliopsida; Fabales; Fabaceae. The record is from RefSeq and is a predicted model, not a curated record.